This is a non-coding RNA of Odocoileus virginianus texanus, 820 nucleotides long. The record is from RefSeq and is a predicted model, not a curated record. Lineage: Eukaryota; Metazoa; Chordata; Mammalia; Artiodactyla; Cervidae.
CCCGGGCUAACGAGCAUCUCCGGGCUCUCAGGUGUGAGGCGGGGAUUCCGCAGGCAGCCCCCACCUGCUCUCAACCAGCCCGCGCCUACCGCGGCCCGCGUAAAGCCUCCUCCGGACGCUGCCAAGGUUGACCGCUCCAACACAAACUCAGAGGCCCUUUUAAUCUGGUUAAAGAGAAGCUCAACAGAAAGUGAAACAUUUCCCGUCUCUUGGAAGAGAGAACUCCGGGCCAGGAAUUUGCUGAAAGGACACACAAGAGAAGAACUGAUAAACCAGAACUAAGGAGAGGAGCCCAGGACACUUGUGGAUUCAGAGCCUCAGAUACACAUGGACAGCCUUUCAGUACGCUGUCUUUGGAUGACUUGUUCACAGCUACCUCCAGGACACAUGUGUUUCUGCUCAGAUUCAGAUUCCUGAGCAAGAGGAACUGAUUGGUGUUUCUUUGGUCAUGUGCCACCCCUGACUUUAACUCAGGUAGAUGGAGCCUGUGGUUGAAAACCCACCAGAAUCAUAUAAAACAGGCUGGGUGCAGUCCUGUGGAGUGCUGUUUCUAGGAGAAGGGGGAGAACUCUAAGGAGCGGGAAAAAGGAUUUUAUAAAAAUCGUCCUCAUCUUAUUGAUUUAAACAUUAUGCAGGUAGCAAGUGAGCAAAUCACUUGUGAAAAACCAAAUGAUGAAGAGUAUAGAAUAAUACCUUACUUCUUACCUCACUCUCACCCCCAGAGAUAGAGGGGACGUUGGAUUUGACUGCUACAACCUUCUUAUACCGUCGACCAUUUGGAAACAGCUACAUCAGCUGUAAAGGAGGAGCAUCAGCUGGU